CUCUUCCUCUCUCCCCUAAGCCCCUUCCACGCCGCCCAUACCCACCUGCACUUCCGCCGCUUUUUUCGUCUGCCGCCGCCCGUCCCCACACCUUCCCUUCUAUCUUCCUCUCUCUCGCCGUCUCUCGAAGAAGCUGUGGUACUCCACUGAAUCCCGAUCUGAGGCAAAGAAGGUCAGCCUCGCCGCCACGGCGACACCUACUCCGACGACGUCUCCACCCCAACCAUCGCCGCGCUGAGGAGGUUGCGAGCGAGGUAAUGUUUCUAGCGCGAGGCGCCGCUGCACGGCUCACCUCGAGAGCAGCAGCGCCGUGACGUUGAGGCGGCCCAUAUCCUCCUCUUUCUCCGGCGAAAUACAGCAAGCUGGCCCCUUCUUCCCUUUUUCUUUUUCGGCGAUUUCGCCGGAUCUUCCAAAUUCUAGACUCCCAAAAUUUCCACCCCUCUCCCCAAAUGUAAUAAGUACUUGUUUAUUGAAGAGUUUGGGAUACGGUGCAUAUUCUUGUUAUUGUGAGUAUGCUGCUUUC
Molecule: long non-coding RNA, 523 nt
Filed under: Salvia miltiorrhiza (redroot sage)
Lineage: Eukaryota; Viridiplantae; Streptophyta; Magnoliopsida; Lamiales; Lamiaceae
Description: long non-coding RNA (SMIL_LNC007886)
Source: RNAcentral